AGGUAUCAGAAGUGCGAAUGCUGACAUGAGUAACGACAAUGCGGGUGAAAAACCCGCACGCCGGAAGACCAAGGGUUCCUGCGCAACGCUAAUCGGCGCAGGGUGAGUCGGCCCCUAAGGCGAGACCGAAAGGUGUAGUCGAUGGGAAACGGGUUAAUAUUCCCGUACCUUGGAUAGCUGCGAUGGAGAGACGGAGAAGGCUAGGUGAGCCGGGCGACGGUUGUCCCGGUUUAAGCGAGUAGGGAGUGGACUUAGGCAAAUCCGGGUCCACAAUCUCGAGACGCGACGACGACUGCUCUUAGAGCGGGAAGUCAUUGAUGCCAUGCUUCCAGGAAAAUCUUCUAAGCUUCAGGCUAUUCGAGACCGUACCCCAAACCGACACAGGUGGUCAGGUAGAGAAUACCAAGGAGAUCGAGA
Molecule: ribosomal RNA, 417 nt
Filed under: Durinskia baltica
Lineage: Eukaryota; Dinophyceae; Peridiniales; Kryptoperidiniaceae
Description: partial Bacterial large subunit ribosomal RNA
Rfam family: Bacterial large subunit ribosomal RNA
Source: RNAcentral